UGUACCCUAGGGGGGCAGCAGUGGGGAAUAUUGCACAAUGGGGGAAACCCUGAUGCAGCGACGCCGCGUGAGCGAAGAAGUAUGUCGGUAUGUAAAGCUCUAUCAGCAGGGAAGAAAAAUGACGGUACCUGAGUAAGAAGCACCGGCUAAAUACGUGUCAGCAGCCGCGGUAAUACGUAUGGUGCAAGCGUUAUCCGGAUUUACUGGGUGUAAAGGGAGCGCAGGCGGUGCGGCAAGUCUGACGUGAAAGCCCGGGGCUCAACCCCGGGACUGCAUUGGAAACUACCGAGCUA
RNAcentral lists this ribosomal RNA (293 nucleotides) under uncultured bacterium. RNAcentral's name for it is "partial 16S ribosomal RNA". It matches the Rfam family "Bacterial small subunit ribosomal RNA", at positions 332 to 643 of the family's 1533-position model. The record is from RNAcentral.